This is a non-coding RNA of Nanorana parkeri, 1416 nucleotides long. The record is from the annotation of a RefSeq genome assembly. NCBI's taxonomy places the organism in Eukaryota, Metazoa, Chordata, Amphibia, Anura, Dicroglossidae.
AUGAAAGUGAAAGAAGUUUUAUCAGAUGACUAUCUAGAAGAGAAGAUGUUCACUCAUAUUCUACUUCUCCUUUACUUGCCACAAACAGCUCACGCUCUGAAACUGAUUGCUCCAAUAUCUUAUCGAGCCGUGAUGGGGGAAGAUGUGACCAUUCCCUGCUCAUUUACAAUCAAUAAACCUCCUAUUGAUCAGAAAUUUCUUUCAAUAUCCUGGUACUUUCAGGGAGCGGAAAUAUUAGGUGUUCAGAAUGGGAUUGUGAGAUCAAGAGAUCCUCGCGUGUCGUAUACAGGCCGGGCAGAAAAUGGAGUCGCUGAUCUGUCUAUCUCAGACAUCACUAUAACGUAUGGAGGGAUCUAUAGGUGCGCCAUACUGUACACCCCAAAGAAGGAAGAGAAGGAGAUCAGAUUAGAUAUACAAGCCCAACCACAGAUCACCGUUACAGACAAAUUAGUUGUUAAAAAUAAAGAGAGUUCUCUGAGCAGUGUCAUCUCUGGAUUCUAUCCGGUGGACAUUGACAUUAAAUGGCUUCGGGAUGGAGAGAUACUGAAUAAUGUCCUGGUGGGGAACCCUCAGAGAGACCCUAAUGGGACUUACAGUGUGAACAGCUCAGUAACAAUAACACCCACUGAGGAGGAAAGAGAGUGGGUCUUCUCCUGUAGAGUCCAACACGAGUCUCUUACUGCACCUCUCCAGGAGGACUUCCAGCUGGUGUAUGGAGAUAUCCCAUCCGUUAACAUCACUUCCCAAGCAUUUAAGUUGGAUGUGGAGCAGAGUGUGGUGUGCAGUGUUUAUGGGUUUUACCCAGAAUCCAUCACUGUAAACUGGUUCUUGAAUGACACCCUGUUGGAGAAUGCCAAGACUCGGAGGAUCAGCGGCUCAGCUGUGGAAUCUGUCUAUCACUUCAUCCCCACAGAGCAGAACUGGGGCAUGGAGCUGAGAUGUGUAGUGGAUCAUGCAACCCUCACCACCCCACAUGUGGAGAGACUGCUGGUACAAGGCAUUGGUCUUCCAAAGGUGAGAAGUAUAACUCGCUCCUUAGGGGCCACGUUCAGCUUAGAUGUGAAUCAUUUCUAUCCGGAAGCUAUUACAGUAUCUUGGGAGGUGAUCCAGCCACCGUCAAUCACACAGUCCCGUUCUAUAGACUCUACAAUUAUGAUGCAUCAGAACCAGGAUGGGACCUUCAAUGCCACCAGCACUUGUGAUAGCCUCAGAGGGAUGAUCCGGGAGGAUGAGCCUUAUACUGUGCGUGCUUCAGUGCAACACAAUAAACUGAAACGUCUGUCACUUAGAGAAUGGAAAAAUGAUGAUAAAGAUAACAGAGUACACAAUACUCCCCCACAAAAUGUCUUCAUCAGUCUUUCUCGCCAGAAGGAUGGCGCCAUCUUUGUCCAGAUUUUCUUUUACCGCCGAAAGUAG